UACGUAGGGUGCGAGCGUUGUCCGGAAUUAUUGGGCGUAAAGGGCUCGUAGGCGGUUUGUCGCGUCGGGAGUGAAAACUCAGGGCUUAACCCUGAGCCUGCUUCCGAUACGGGCAGACUAGAGGUAUGCAGGGGAGAACGGAGUUCCUGGUGUAGCGGUGAAAUGCGCAGAUAUCAGGAGGAACACCGGUGGCGAAGGCGGUUCUCUGGGCAUUACCUGACGCUGAGGAGCGAAAGUGUGGGGAGCGAACAGG
RNAcentral lists this ribosomal RNA (253 nucleotides) under uncultured bacterium. RNAcentral describes it as "partial 16S ribosomal RNA". It matches the Rfam family "Bacterial small subunit ribosomal RNA", at positions 524 to 776 of the family's 1533-position model. The record is from RNAcentral.